UCCCAAUACACGGCGGGGAUGUGCUGUGGGGCAUUGUGGGGCGGAGAUGUGAACUCUUGCAUAACACCUCUAUGUCACGUAGGCGAUGACUUGCAUUAGCCGAAAUGACAGAGAUCGUCUCGGAACCACGUUGGGUGCACCUUGCACACCUUGAGAGUGCUUCACCACCACUUCGACAGGGCCGACUUGUAGGCACCUCGGCAGGAUCAAGCUGGCCACCUCAAGACUGAUCUAGAGACCUCGACACGAAGGGUGACCUCCUGUUGAGGCCCAAUCGACUUGACCGAGGUCCAGUUGGUGACUUGCGUGACAUGGCGACCGGCCUCUGUUUUGUGUGACUUAUCGUCUCCGAGUCCUAUGGGAUCACGUCACCUCACUGAUGGAGCUGGCUCCUGCGUCACCCACUUCAGAGGUAAUUGGAUAAGCUCUAUUGUUUUACAAGGAAACUGUCUCCGAGCAUGGUGGGCUGAUAAAUCACAUCCUCCCUGGGAUCUCGGAUGCGCUACAUGAAGCUCACAACUACCUGUGCCUAUAUAAAGGUGCUCCCUUCAACCAGAGAAGCUCGACCAGCCAACCUAGUUAACUCGACAUCUGACUUGUCCUCUAGCAGGUAGCAUGAGAUCGCGCACCAUCACCUUGUAUACAAUAUUUCUAAACUUUGUAUUUGCAGUCUUCCCAAACUGAGUCAGGAAAGUGGCUAUUGAAAUCUGUCUAGCAAAGAGAAAUCUGCUAAACCAAAGCCAGUCACUGCUCGCUGCUAGUCACUUUCAUUUAUUAGUCCUGACUCCUGAGAAUUGAUCCACUCUGAGUUGGUGGUGGUAGUUGCUUGAAUUGUCUCCAAGCUUUUGCUAUACUUAGCAAUCUGUCUCAACAUCAAACAUAUGAGACAAACUUGAUUUCUAUUCAGCCAGUUCCACUGAACUUUCUGACCCAACUUCAUUGUAAAUGAAUAAUAUUGGAAAAAAAAAAACAUUCAUGCUGAUCGGAUUGAGACACGUUUACAGAUUUGUAUGAGCCAGUCUUACAAGGGUUGGAUGAGUUGAA
Long non-coding RNA from Nelumbo nucifera (sacred lotus), 1044 nucleotides. RefSeq lists it as uncharacterized. The record is from RefSeq and is a predicted model, not a curated record. Lineage: Eukaryota; Viridiplantae; Streptophyta; Magnoliopsida; Proteales; Nelumbonaceae.